This 942-nucleotide ribosomal RNA is filed under the name marine metagenome. RNAcentral's name for it is "bacterial SSU rRNA". It matches the Rfam family "Bacterial small subunit ribosomal RNA", at positions 291 to 1231 of the family's 1533-position model. The record is from RNAcentral.
CCUGAGAGGGGGAUCCCCCACACUGGUACUGAGACACGGACCAGACUCCUACGGGAGGCAGCAGUGAGGAAUAUUGGACAAUGGACGAAAGUCUGAUCCAGCUAUGCCGCGUGCAGGAUGACAGCCCUACGGGUUGUAAACUGCUUUUAUACAGGAAGAAAAAUCCCGACGUGUCGGGGCUUGACGGUACUGUAAGAAUAAGGAUCGGCUAACUCCGUGCCAGCAGCCGCGGUAAUACGGAGGAUCCAAGCGUUAUCCGGAAUUAUUGGGUUUAAAGGGUCCGCAGGCGGUUUUUUAAGUCAGAGGUGAAAUCCUACAGCUCAACUGUAGAAUUGCCUUUGAAACUGAAAGACUUGAGUUAUUGUGAAGUGGUUAGAAUGUGUGGUGUAGCGGUGAAAUGCAUAGAUAUCACACAGAAUACCAAUUGCGAAGGCAGAUCACUAACAAUUAACUGACGCUCAGGGACGAAAGCGUGGGUAGCGAACAGGAUUAGAUACCCUGGUAGUCCACGCCGUAAACGAUGGAUACUAGCUGUAUGUCUACCUCAGGUAGAUGUGUGGCCAAGCGAAAGUGAUAAGUAUCCCACCUGGGGAGUACGAUCGCAAGAUUGAAACUCAAAGGAAUUGACGGGGGCCCGCACAAGCGGUGGAGCAUGUGGUUUAAUUCGAUGAUACGCGAGGAACCUUACCAGGGCUUAAAUGUAACGGGACAGGUCUAGAGAUAGACCCUUCUUCGGACUCAUUACAAGGUGCUGCAUGGUUGUCGUCAGCUCGUGCCGUGAGGUGUCAGGUUAAGUCCUAUAACGAGCGCAACCCCCAUCGUUAGUUGCCAACGAGUAAUGUCGGGAACUCUAACGAAACUGCCGGUGCAAACCGUGAGGAAGGUGGGGAUGACGUCAAAUCAUCACGGCCCUUACGUCCUGGGCUACACACGUGCUACAAU